GACGAACGCUGGCGGCGUGCUUAACACAUGCAAGUCGAACGGUGACGGAGAGCUUGCUCUCCUGAUCAGUGGCGAACGGGUGAGUAACACGUGGGCAACCUGCCCAGACCUCGGGAUAACGCUUCGAAAGAGGUGCUAAUACCGAAUACGAACGCCGUGGGCAUCCACGGUGUUGGAAAGUUUUCGGUCUGGGAUGGGCCCGCGGCCUAUCAGCUUGUUGGUGAGGUAAUGGCUCACCAAGGCGACGACGGGUAGCCGGCCUGAGAGGGCGACCGGCCACACUGGGACUGAGACACGGCCCAGACUCCUACGGGAGGCAGCAGUGGGGAAUAUUGCGCAAUGGGCGAAAGCCUGACGCAGCAACGCCGCGUGGGGGAUGAAGGCCUUCGGUUGUAAACCUCUUCUAGCAGGAAGAAGCGAAAGUGACGGUACCGUGCAGAAGAAGACACCGGCUAACU
This 458-nucleotide ribosomal RNA is filed under the name uncultured bacterium. RNAcentral's name for it is "bacterial SSU rRNA". It matches the Rfam family "Bacterial small subunit ribosomal RNA", at positions 28 to 502 of the family's 1533-position model. The record is from RNAcentral.